AUGCAUUUAUUGUAUGUAUUUAUGUUUAUAUAUAUGUCAUAUGAAUGUACAUUAAAAACAAUGAUAUUCUUUACAUUUUAUAAUUAUUUUUUUUCCGUUUUUUAUCCAUUGUUUAUAAACAGUACACACGAAAAAAAAAAAGAAAAAGUAAAACAGAAAAGUGAAGGCAGCAACUACACAGGGCAAAUAAAUGUAGGGGAUAAUUAUCAAGUGUCAAAUAUAACUACUUUCUUUUUAAAUAGUAAUUCAGAGAUAUAUGAAGAAGCUAACAGAUCAGAGUUAGUUUAUUCACCUUACCUACUAGAACGAAUGAAAGAAAGUUAUCUAAGUGAAGGGCAGUAUGAAUUAGUUAUUAAAAAUGAUUACGAGUUAGCUGUUUUUAUUAAGGAGCUAGCUGAAAAUUGGAAAUGUCAACUGGGAUGGCAUCCAUUUACUCCUGAAUAUGCUUUUAAGAUUUUACAUCGAGUGGAUUAUAACCCUAAGAGGGCUAUUGAACUACUGAAUAGUUCUGAUUUUAAUUUUUUGGAAGUCUGUGACCCUCCAAUACGAAAAUACGAGAACAAGUGGAGACCUCGAGAUAAGAGAGGUCAGAUAUCAGGUAAAAUUUACAACAAAUAUGUAAAAAAAUAAAUAAAUAAAUAAAAUAAAACACAUAUAUAAAUACA
Long non-coding RNA from Piliocolobus tephrosceles (Ugandan red Colobus), 665 nucleotides. The record is from Ensembl. NCBI's taxonomy places the organism in Eukaryota, Metazoa, Chordata, Mammalia, Primates, Cercopithecidae.